UUCCAAGCUAGAGUGAGAAAUUUGGGUAAGUGGUCAUGUAUUCCAUAAAUCUUGCUUGAAUGAUGUUGUAUGAAGAAAGAAAAUCACCUCUCCCUUGUUCUUAAAAUUUUCAAAAAAAUGGGUCUUUACCCUUCAAAAAUUUUCUUUUUCUUUCCUUGAUUUGGGGGAAAAAAAAUGAGAUCUAUGUGGUGUUUGUUGAUGAUUGAUGUGUGUUGUGAAAG
Molecule: long non-coding RNA, 221 nt
Filed under: Salvia miltiorrhiza (redroot sage)
Lineage: Eukaryota; Viridiplantae; Streptophyta; Magnoliopsida; Lamiales; Lamiaceae
Description: long non-coding RNA (SMIL_LNC003771)
Source: RNAcentral